AUAUUAAGCAAAACUACAUAAAAGUAAGUCUCAGUUCGGAUUGAAGGCUGAAAUUCGCCUACCAUGAAGCUGGAAUUGCUAGUAAUGGCAGGUCAGCAUACUGCCGUGAAUACGUUCCCGGGCCUUGUACACACCGCCCGUCACACCAUGAGAGUUGGGGAUACCCUAAGCCUGUGAGCCAACUGUAAAGAGGCAGCAGUCGAAGGUAGAAUCAAUGAUUGGGGUGAAGUCGUAACAAGGUACC
Molecule: ribosomal RNA, 244 nt
Filed under: uncultured bacterium
Lineage: Bacteria
Description: partial 16S ribosomal RNA
Rfam family: Bacterial small subunit ribosomal RNA
Source: RNAcentral